RNAcentral lists this unclassified non-coding RNA (264 nucleotides) under uncultured Ascomycota. Its description in RNAcentral is "sequence contains 5.8S rRNA gene". The stretch from base 1 to 53 matches the Rfam family "5.8S ribosomal RNA", at positions 102 to 154 of the family's 154-position model. Lineage: Eukaryota; Fungi; Ascomycota. The record is from RNAcentral.
GAACGCACAUUGCGCCCAUUAGUAUUCUAGUGGGCAUGCCUGUUCGAGCGUCAUUAAGUCCACUUAAGCCCUGCUUAGUGUUGGGAACCUACAGAAGCUACCCUGUAGCUACCCUGUAGUUCCUUAAAGACAGCGGCGGAGUUGUAGUACCCUCUGAGCUUAGUAAUUUUUUCUAGCUUUCGAGAUGCUACUGCUUCUGCCGUUAAACACCCUUCUUCUGAAUGGUUGACCUCGGAUCAGGUAGGAAUACCCGCUGAACUUAAG